UACGGGGGGGGCAAGCGUUGUUCGGAAUUACUGGGCGUAAAGGGCUCGUAGGUGGCCAACUAAGUCAGACGUGAAAUCCCUCGGCUUAACCGGGGAACUGCGUCUGAUACUGGAUGGCUUGAGUUUGGGAGAGGGACGCGGAAUUCCAGGUGUAGCGGUGAAAUGCGUAGAUAUGUGGAGGAACACCGAUGGCGAAGGCAGCCCCCUGGGUUAACACCUGACGCUCAUGCACGAAAGCGUGGGGAGCAAACAGG
Molecule: ribosomal RNA, 254 nt
Filed under: uncultured bacterium
Lineage: Bacteria
Description: partial 16S ribosomal RNA
Rfam family: Bacterial small subunit ribosomal RNA
Source: RNAcentral